CUAAGGAUGAUCCUUCAGCCUAGCUUGGCUAGCUAUCGGAUCGUUUUAGAAACAUCAGUGGCCAACGGUCGUCAGGAUCGUUGAGCUGCAUUGGCGGGAUUUCGCCGUCUUCGUUUCUCUUUCUUCGCGGACGAACACGCGCUGGGCCUGCAUGGUUGCAGGAUCCCGGUCCUUAACUGGAUAUGCGUUAGGGGCUUGUAGCUCAGUUGGUUAGAGCGCGCGCUUGAUAAGCGUGAGGUCGGAAGUUCAAGUCUUCCCAGGCCCACCACACUCAUCGAGUGAGCAUUCGUCUUCUGGUUACGGGGCCAUAGCUCAGCUGGGAGAGCGCGUGCUUUGCAAGCAUGAGGUCGUCGGUUCGAUCCCGUCUGGCUCCACCAGAUGGUUUGAUCAAUCGAAUGAUUGCACCUAUUCGUCCGCGAAACAUCACUUCGCACCCACUAGUCCGGAUGGACAGUGCGGCUGCGGGAUUUCUGACAUCGUAAAGAGGAGAUCGAUCCGAGUUGGAUCGUGCGGCAAGCAAUUGCCACGCGGUACUCCAUUAUCUCCGGAUCAUUUCGGCGCUCAUGCGUCUUCCAAGGUAGCUCACAAGGCUGCACUGAAAGACAAACGAGUUGUAAAUGAUCCUUUUAGCGAAGCUUGACCGCCUCGCUAUCGGAACGAUCUUACGAAGCAAGCUGGUCUUUCUAAUCAUUGUCCGGCUGCAGAUAGCGUUCAUCGAGGGCGCGUGCCUUAGCAGUGGCAAUUCUGCAGACAACAUUCUGCCGAGUGUGUGGACAUUGAUAAUGAGAGC
This 790-nucleotide transfer RNA is filed under the name Bradyrhizobium sp. 05LoS22R2_8. Its description in RNAcentral is "16S-23S ribosomal RNA intergenic spacer". The stretch from base 192 to 265 matches the Rfam family "tRNA". Lineage: Bacteria; Pseudomonadati; Pseudomonadota; Alphaproteobacteria; Hyphomicrobiales; Nitrobacteraceae. The record is from RNAcentral.